Molecule: ribosomal RNA, 426 nt
Filed under: uncultured marine bacterium
Lineage: Bacteria
Description: bacterial SSU rRNA
Rfam family: Bacterial small subunit ribosomal RNA
Source: RNAcentral
UAGAGUUUGAUCAUGGCUCAGAUUGAACGCUGGCGGUAUGCUUAACACAUGCAAGUCGAACGGAAACGACAAGAGCUUGCUCUUGGGCGUCGAGUGGCGGACGGGUGAGUAACGCGUAGGAAUCUGCCUAGUAGUGGGGGAUAGCCCAAGGAAACUUGGAUUAAUACCGCAUAAUAUCUAUGGAUUAAAGUGGAGGAUCUUCGGACUUCACGCUGCUAGAUGAGCCUGCGUAAGAUUAGUUAGUUGGUGGGGUAAAAGCUCACCAAGGCGACGAUCUUUAGCUGGUCUGAGAGGAUGAUCAGCCACACUGGGACUGAGACACGGCCCAGACUCCUACGGGAGGCAGCAGUGGGGAAUAUUGGACAAUGGGGGCAACCCUGAGCCAGCAAUACCGCGUGUGUGAAGAAGGCCUGAGGGUUGUAAAGC